This 263-nucleotide long non-coding RNA is filed under the name Elaeis guineensis (African oil palm). Its description in RNAcentral is "long non-coding RNA (EGUI_LNC031686)". The record is from RNAcentral. Lineage: Eukaryota; Viridiplantae; Streptophyta; Magnoliopsida; Arecales; Arecaceae.
CGUUAACCUUAUUUGAUUCAUCAUGUUGUCCUAAAUCAGUUGCGAAUUCCUCACUAUUAUAGUUUUUAAAGCUGUGAAGCAUUCCUACAGUCUCCAUGAAAUCCUAUAAUGGAGUUCCAAUAUAAUGAAGAUGAAGUUAACUUUAUACAAAUAAGAAAUGCAUAUUAUAGGAGGUGAGUGUACCUUAUCCUUUUUGACAUCAGUGGUCAAAGGAGAUUUAAGUUUUUUUUUUUCAUUUUUAUCUUAUCAUAAAUCACAAACUC